This 73-nucleotide transfer RNA is filed under the name Camelus bactrianus (Bactrian camel). It matches the Rfam family "tRNA". Rfam says of the family: Transfer RNA (tRNA) molecules are approximately 80 nucleotides in length. Their secondary structure includes four short double-helical elements and three loops (D, anti-codon, and T loops). The record is from Rfam by way of RNAcentral. Lineage: Eukaryota; Metazoa; Chordata; Mammalia; Artiodactyla; Camelidae. RNAcentral also lists the same sequence under 1 other name.
AAGGGCAUAGCUCAAGUGGCAGAGCGCAUGCUUAGCACGCACGAGGUCCUGGGUUCAAUCCCCAGUACCUCCA